AUGCCCGGUCAGUGUCCACGAGCGUGUCCGCAGGUGUUUAAGGGACCAGAUUUGCAAAGUCCGGCUGUAGAUGCUUUAACCAUGCAUUCAUGCUGCUCAGCGAAGGUUCAGCUAAUAGCAUUUUCCCUCUGUUGCAAAAGCAGAGAACAUACUUGCACCGGUAGACGUGUCACACAUGUGUGGCUACGUGCAGAGACCACGCGAGAGGAGUAUCAUGAGUCCAUCACGCAAUGCAGGCGACGGGGACAGAUGAGCCGAUGGACACGGCCACGUCCCCGCACCCAGCAAAGUGGCGAGCAUGCACGGCGACGCGCCGCUCCGAUGUCGCCAAAAGCUAGAAAAGAGAGAGAAACAAAGCCGGCCCGAUCCCCUCUCCUCCCGUCCUACCACAAAAAGGGCGCCGGGAACGGGCAGCGCCCGCGAGCUUUCCCAGCCCCGCAAUCUCUCUUGCGCUUUCCUAGUCCCGGCACCGGUAGCGGUAGGCCACUCACUGUCCACAGAGGACGUGGGCAUAGCCCAGUGGUUGGGGGCGCAUGA
Molecule: ribosomal RNA, 537 nt
Filed under: Triticum aestivum (bread wheat)
Lineage: Eukaryota; Viridiplantae; Streptophyta; Magnoliopsida; Poales; Poaceae
Description: partial small subunit ribosomal RNA
Source: RNAcentral